RNAcentral lists this ribosomal RNA (468 nucleotides) under uncultured bacterium. Its description in RNAcentral is "partial 16S ribosomal RNA". It matches the Rfam family "Bacterial small subunit ribosomal RNA", at positions 28 to 507 of the family's 1533-position model. The record is from RNAcentral.
GACGAACGCUGGCGGCGUGCUUAACACAUGCAAGUCGAACGGAAAGACCCUGCUUUUGUGGGGUGCUCGAGUGGCGAACGGGUGAGUAACACGUGAGUAACCUGCCCUUGACUUUGGGAUAACUUCAGGAAACUGGGGCUAAUACCGGAUAGGAGCUCCUGCUGCAUGGUGGGGGUUGGAAAGUUUCGGCGGUUGGGGAUGGACUCGCGGCUUAUCAGCUUGUUGGUGGGGUAGUGGCUUACCAAGGCUUUGACGGGUAGCCGGCCUGAGAGGGUGACCGGCGACAUUGGGACUGAGAGACGGCGCAGAAUCCUACGGGAGGCAGAAGUGGGGAAUAUUGCAGAAUGGGCGGAAGCCUGAUGCAGCAACGCCGCGUGCGGGAUGACGGCCUUCGGGUGGUAAACCGCUUUCGACUGUGACGAAGCGGUAGUGACGGUAAUGGGUAAAGAAGCAACGGCUAACUACGUG